This 425-nucleotide ribosomal RNA is filed under the name uncultured bacterium. RNAcentral describes it as "partial 16S ribosomal RNA". It matches the Rfam family "Bacterial small subunit ribosomal RNA", at positions 354 to 796 of the family's 1533-position model. The record is from RNAcentral.
GUGGGGGAUAUUGCACAAUGGAGGAAACUCUGAUGCAGCGACGCCGCGUGAGUGAAGAAGUAUUUCGGUAUGUAAAGCUCUAUCAGCAGGGAAGAUAAUGACAGUACCUGACUAAGAAGCCCCGGCUAACUACGUGCCAGCAGCCGCGGUAAUACGUAGGGGGCAAGCGUUAUCCGGAUUUACUGGGUGUAAAGGGAGCGUAGACGGAAUGGCAAGUCUGAAGUGAAAUCCUGCGGCUUAACUGCAGAAUUGCUUUGGAAACUGUCAAUCUGGAGUGUUGCAGAGGUAAGCGGAAGUCCUGGUGUAGCGGUGAAAUGCGUAGAUAUCAGGAAGAACACCGGAGGCGAAGGCGGCUUACUGGACAAUAACUGACGUUGAGGCUCGAAAGCGUGGGAAGCAAACAGGAUUAGAUACCCCGGUAGUCC